Molecule: RNA transcript, 2568 nt
Organism: Grus americana (Whooping crane)
Lineage: Eukaryota; Metazoa; Chordata; Aves; Gruiformes; Gruidae
Gene: LYRM4
Gene name: LYR motif containing 4
Exons: 6
Source: RefSeq, a predicted model, not a curated record
GCGGGGAAAGGGGCCUCGCCGCGGGAGGACCCGCCUGGUGUCGGCAACAUGGCAGCGUCCAGCCGGGCCCAGGUGCUGCGGCUGUACCGGGCCAUGCUGCGGGAGAGUCAGCGCUUCAGCGGCUACAACUACAGAAUGUAUGCCAUCAGAAGGAUAAGAGAUGCCUUCAGAGAAAACAAGAAUAUAAAGGAUUCUGAAAAAAUAGAAGAGCUAGUGAAUAAAGCCAAAGCAAAUCUAGAGGUUAUUCAUCGGCAGGUGAUUCUUCAGUUACAUAUAUGACAAAGUUUAAGGCUUGCUGAAUAUGAAGACCUUUUUUGGUGUUGGGUUCUGCUACAUGACAUUCUUCGUUGUCAAAAGACUGACUCUUUGCUCUCCUAUGACAUCCCAAUAUUUAGCAUGCUAGUGAGACUCUGAAUUCUUGUAGACCAAAUUAUGGAAAGUCAGAUCAAAAGGAAGUUUUUAUUUAUGGGUCUUUCCUGUAUUCCCUACUGGAUCUAGGAAGGAUCUUGUUCUAACGUCGUGGAAGAAAAUACUGCUUUGGGAAUAGGUUACCAUUGGCCAACUAUAUUCCACGCAGAAAUUGGUUAUUGAGAGUCCAGGAAACACAUAGCUAUAAGAAGACUCUGAUCCUGAAGCAACACUGGACCAUCUUCAGCAUCCUACAGUGCCACAUUCAGAUGCAUAAACCCACUGCACAUGUCUGAGCUUUUCUGUUCAGCAGAAGAAAUGCUUGAGAGACUCUGUUUUUGGGAACCAAAGUACUAUUUUCUAAUGGUUCACAUGUUCUAAAAUAUGUUGCUGUGAUUUAUAAAAGGAUGUAAGGUAGUCUUGAAAUCUGUUUGCUUGUAUGUCCCACGUGAUGAAAUAGUUUCUGCCCUACUUUGACAAUAAAACUCAUUAAACUACCUGUAACCAGAUACAUUAUUCUGCUGAUGACCUUUUCUCUCACUGAGCAUGAAAGAUGUGUUAGAUUUAAAACCCCUCACCCAGUUACUAAGUUUUUAUUGAUCCUGUUCCUUUAAAAAUAUACAGCAUCUGAAUUACAUGACUAAAUACAUAGUCCAUUUUAAAUAUUAAAACCAGAGAUGAACAGAGUUUUUGUCUCCUGGACCUUGAUACUUACAGAUAUCCCAAACUGCAUCAUGUGGUUUCUUUAAAGAGCAUCCCUUGACAUUUCAGGAGGUGACAUAAAAAUUUCACUAGUUCUUUCUUUAGUUUCCAAGAGUUAAUAACCAGUCUCAUCCACCUUUUAACAAUUAACAGAUCAGACUAGCAGAAUGUAAGACUUGCAUCACCGAGACCUGGGAGCUUUAAAAUAUAUUUUCACCACCCAGUCCUUUUCUAAAUUUGUUGAGGUGCAGCUAUUAGCAGAAAGCACCACAUCACUUUAUGCAAGGUUUCCCUUUUUCACAAGGUCCUGAAUUUUGCAGGAGAAAAAGAACCUCAUUGUGACAAUAACUCAAAUGCUGUAAGUCAUAAUUUGGCAGCAAGUUUUGCCUAGCAAAAGUGGAACACUCAGUAUAGCGUUCUAUUGCUUAUUAUUAGAUCUGUAGAAUAAUCAACACUUUUAAGACAAUAGGAUAAACAAAAGCAAGCAAAAAUUUUGAUCAGGUUCUGUUCAAGUCAUCGCUGUGCUUGAAUUUGUUUUCUAUUAGAAAUUUGCAAAAAUUUAAGCCGUGCAAAGCUUUUUUAAUGGCAUACAUCAAAAAAAAAAGCUUUUUUAUUUCAGGGACUUGUUGUGGGGUUUUUUUAAGAAGAGAAACUCGAAACUAGUUCCAUGACACUGUGGCCUUUAAAAACCUCCCCUUAUUUUUCUUGCUUUGCAAAAUUCAUCUUUGUUUAGAACUUCUGUUGUUUUGUGUUGUUCAUGCUGUGUGAUAACAUUAUUAAAGCAGAGGAUGGACAAAGUGUCUAAUUUAGAACAAACUCCCAUUCCUACUACCAUUUAAAGUGUGUUUUAUAAUUUUGUACAGUUAGAUUGAAAUGUAUACUAAUGCAUUCCGUUAAUGAUAUAGUGUACAGAAUAAGAUACUGUGACUUGAGACUCAAAUGUAGCCUCCAUUCUCACCUUCAAAUAAAAGGCACAUACAGUCAUAAUUCUCCUCGGAUUAGGUGUGUAAGUAUUGCCAUGUAAAUUGCUUUUAAUGAACAUUUUAUUAAAAUGGCAUUUAAUUAUUCUAAUAGGUAAAAUACAUUAUAUUCUGUACUUUAAAUCUCCCCGUUCACAACUGGAUAAUUAAGUUAAUGGUGAAAGUGUAGGGGAAUAAAGGUUUGAUUACUAUUUAAGCUUCCAGCGAACUCAAAGAAACAUAAUAACAUCUUACACUUCUAGAGGACACAGGUUUGGAAGGGCUGCCAGUUUUAUACUCUAAGGAACUUGGUCUCUUAAAUAGUACAUGCAAAAUCCUUGUUUAAAACAGCUUAAUUAGUGGAACAAGCACUGCAUACCAAUUCAAGAUCUGAGAAUGUAUGCUAGGAAACAAAAUAAACAUCCUUAUAAAUAGUGUAACUGUAAUUUAUGGAAAAGGACGAGUCCAUCAGUAACAUUUUUACUAUUUAGAUCUAAGU